CACCAGCGCCACGAGUGGCGAUCGCGAUUAUUGGGCCUAAAGCGUCCGUAGUCUGCUUUGUACAUCUUCUGUGAAAUCGCUGCGCUCAACGUAGCGACGUGCGGAAGACACGGCAGAGCUUGAGACCGGGAGGCGUCGAGGGUACUCCGGGGGGACCGGUAAAAUGGUAUAAUCCCCGGAAGACCACCUGUGGCGAAGGCGCUCGACGAGUACGGAUCUGACGAUGAGGGACGAAAGCCAGGGGA
RNAcentral lists this ribosomal RNA (245 nucleotides) under uncultured archaeon. RNAcentral describes it as "partial 16S ribosomal RNA". It matches the Rfam family "Archaeal small subunit ribosomal RNA", at positions 474 to 718 of the family's 1478-position model. The record is from RNAcentral.